Long non-coding RNA from Rhagoletis pomonella (apple maggot), 2102 nucleotides. RefSeq lists it as uncharacterized. The record is from RefSeq and is a predicted model, not a curated record. The transcript has 3 exons. NCBI's taxonomy places the organism in Eukaryota, Metazoa, Arthropoda, Insecta, Diptera, Tephritidae.
GAAAAAAGCCGAACAGUGUCAGAAUGUAAAAGACUUAGGGCCGGUUUCUCUAUGUCUGAUUAACAUAACCCUCAACCCGUGGUUGGUUAACCACCUGGUAGUUUGAAUUGACAGUUUCAUUUUCACCAAGUUCUAAUUAGCUGACUUCGGAUUAUUUUGAUUAUUGUGAAUAUUUUACGAAAAAGGUCACAAAAAUUGCUUUGUGAAUACAUAAAAACUGCAUGACAGCUGACAUUUGUUUACAUUUAUUUCAUAAUUUUCAUCCCGCGCAUUUCCAAAUUUUACGCUGCUUAUUUAAUAAUUUUCAUUUGUGUAUAGAAUAAUGGAAAACAAACAAAGAAGGCUUCCAAAUUUCACUAGCACUGAGGAAAAUAUGUUAAUUACGUUGGCGGAGCGGCACGCAAAUCUUAUUGAAAAUAAAAAAACGGAUGCAGUGACCUGGGAGAAAAAGCGGAAGGCCUGGGAAACUAUCGACGUCGAAUUUGAGGCUCAAGUUGGAAUCAGGAGAAGUGCAAAAAAUUUACGCGAAAAAUAUGAGAACUUAAAGAGGAGGGCCAGAAAAUGCUUGGCGGAAGAAAAAAUGGAACUUUAUAAAACAGGAGGUGGAGUAUAUAAGCAGCGGCGGGACAUCAACACAGAAAGCCUUUCAAGAAAUCGAAUAUGUGGACGAUAUUAAUGGGGAUCUGCGCUCCGCUACCGAAACAAUCAAGGAAAGCCCGAUCAAAGACCAAAACAUUGAUAUACGCCUCAACCCCUCGCUUGGAAAAGCACGGUUUCUACAACAACAAUCUUUGAACGACUCUAUGCCAAGUCAAACAGCGAAUGAUGUGGAGAUUAUUCAGGGUGCAGAGAUUGAAAAUACACUUGAUUGGAGCUCAUGGAAUCCAACUAGUUUACGGACGAAAAAAGCUAAUAAGCUGGAGGUCAAAUCAGAGCAGAAAAAAAAAUAAGACCAUUCCCGAUUCCUAUCAUUUGUUUUGGGAGGAAGAAAACAAAAGGGCGGUAGACAAGCAUGCAAUGGCGAACGAAAAGCAUACACUCGAAGUAAAAGAAGCUCAGAUGAAAUUAGAACUUUUGCAAAUAGAAAUUGAUUAUAAGAAACAUAGAAGUUCUAGUCAACUGCUUUAAUCUAUAUCUAUUUCUAAAAGUUAUAAUUUCAUAUUAGAUGUGGUGUUCUGCCGCUGCUUAUAUUGAGAGCAGAAGUUUUAUACUGCUUUUUCUUUCAAAGUUGCAAUUUACAAAAACCCUUUCUAGAAAUUUUAAUUACAAUGUUUAUAAUUGGUAUGAAAAGUUUAUAAAAUUUUUUGGGGCAUAUUCGUAGGCAACAUAAAGUCGACUAUAAAGUUAGCUGCAGCUUUUUCGACAGAUAUUUCCUUGAAAAUAAUGUCAAAAAGCUGCAACUAACUUUGGAGUAGACAUUAUUUUGACUACAAAUAUGCCGCUAGAAUUUUUGAAUUAGUUAAAAAUUUUGAUUUUUAUGGUUUUUGUUAUAUAAUGAGCUAUACUGUUAUAGAAAAACUAACUGAUACCCGCGACUGCGUCUGCGUAGCUUACUACUUUUCGAUAUACCCUUGUGUCAGUUGAUUCAGUCAAGUGACACUUUGACUAGUUUUGGCUAUUUUUCUUUUAUUUAUAAAAGUUUAGCACUUUACCUAUCCAGCGGCACAUAAGUCCACAUUUAAAUCUUCGUACAAAGAUUAUCAAAAUUCAACCUGGUGGUGUCAAUCUGGUGUCUGUCAAAAAUAGAUGUAACAUCUGAACUAUGUUGCCAAUAUUAAUGCUUACUCAGGUAGCUUGCUUAUUAAAAUUGAACUAAGUCGAACCAUAAAUAUGGAUUUUCUGAAAAUUAUUAUAUUGAUAUAGAUAUAGUACGCCGAAGUUAUUUAUAUAUUUUUUGGGUGCUCAUAAUAACUUAGAACCAGUAUUUAUAUUAUUUAAUCUUUUUUUAGUUGUCUACGAUUGAAUAUUCCUUUUGUUUAUUUCGCAAUUGUAAUGAUCUCAUAUGCAGUGCUUAUCAUGAGUGCCGUAUACUCACAUAUUGACAAGAUUUUACCUUUUUUUUAUGAGAGUAUAUUUUAUUCUUUAACAAAAGCCGUAUAAAU